CAGCCGGAUCGAGUGCACACAUACUAUUCUUGACAAGCCAUUAAUGCAAGCACUUAUGUUAAUUUCCUACGGAUAGAAGCAGGCUUCGCCAAUGAUCAACUGAUCACGGUCAAUUGGCCACCAGCUUCACAGCAUGCUUUAGGCAGAGCAAAUGAAGUAGAAAUGGAGGAACCUCGCAAAGAAAGAUGUUUGAAGCUAGCGAUUUCUACAUAACG
Long non-coding RNA from Lolium rigidum, 215 nucleotides. RefSeq lists it as uncharacterized. The transcript is spliced from 2 exons. Lineage: Eukaryota; Viridiplantae; Streptophyta; Magnoliopsida; Poales; Poaceae. The record is from RefSeq and is a predicted model, not a curated record.